CCUACGGGUGGCAGCAGUGGGGGAUAUUGCACAAUGGGGGAAACCCUGAUGCAGCGACGCCGCGUGGGUGAAGAAGCGCCUCGGCGCGUAAAGCCCUGUCAGCAGGGAAGAAAAUGACGGUACCUGAAGAAGAAGCCCCGGCUAACUACGAGCCAGCAGCCGCGGUAAUACGUAGGGGGCAAGCGUUAUCCGGAUUUACUGGGUGUAAGGGGAGCGCAGACGGCGAUGCAAGCCAGGAGUGAAAGCCCGGGGCCCAACCCCGGGACUGCUCUUGGAACUGCGUGGCUAGAGUGCAGGAGGGGCAGGCUGAAUUCCUGGUGUAGCGGUGAAAUGCGUAGAUAUCAGGAGGAACACCGGUGGCGAAGGCAGCCUGCUGGACUGCAACUGACGUUGAGGCCCGAAAGCGUGGGGAGCAAACAGGAUUAGAUACCCCUGUAGUC
Molecule: ribosomal RNA, 440 nt
Filed under: uncultured bacterium
Lineage: Bacteria
Description: partial 16S ribosomal RNA
Rfam family: Bacterial small subunit ribosomal RNA
Source: RNAcentral